ACACAAGCGUGGAGUAUGUGUUUAAUUCGAAGAUACACGAAGAACCUUACCAGGUCUUGACAUACCAUUGACAGGCGCAGAGAUGUGCUCUCCUUCGGGCAAUGGAUACAGGUGGUGCAUGGUUGUCGUCAGCUCGUGCCGUGAGGUGUUGGGUUAAGUCCCGCAACGAGCGCAACCCUCAUUGUUAGUUACUACCAUUCAGUUGAGGACUCUAAUGAGACUGCCAACGAUAAGUUGGAGGAAGGUGGGGAUGACGUCAAAUCAUCAUGCCCUUUAUGACCUGGGCUACAAACGUACUACAAUGGCCAAUACAAAGAGAUGCGAAGCGGUGACGUGGAGCGAACCUCAGAAAGUUGGCCCCAGUUCAGAUUGCAGGCUGCAACUCGCCUGCAUGAAGCUGGAAUCGGUAGUAAUCGCGGAUCAGCCACGCCGCGGUGAAUACGUUCUCGGGCCUU
This 455-nucleotide ribosomal RNA is filed under the name uncultured Mollicutes bacterium. RNAcentral describes it as "bacterial SSU rRNA". It matches the Rfam family "Bacterial small subunit ribosomal RNA", at positions 923 to 1382 of the family's 1533-position model. Lineage: Bacteria; Bacillati; Mycoplasmatota; Mollicutes. The record is from RNAcentral.